This 390-nucleotide ribosomal RNA is filed under the name Notostaurus anatolicus. Its description in RNAcentral is "12S ribosomal RNA". It matches the Rfam family "Microsporidia small subunit ribosomal RNA", at positions 752 to 1207 of the family's 1311-position model. The record is from RNAcentral. Lineage: Eukaryota; Metazoa; Arthropoda; Insecta; Orthoptera; Acrididae.
AUACCCUAUUAUUUUAAGUGUUAAUUUUGCUUACCUGGGUACUGUUAGUUAAGAUCUUUAAACCCAAAGAAUUUGGCGGUAUCUCAUUCCAUUCAGAGGAACCUACCCCGUAAUUGAUAAUACACGAUUGACUUUACUUAAUUUAUUUGUUUGUAUAUCUCCGUUAUCAGAAAAUCUUAUUGGAGUUAUAAUUUUCUUGAUUUAUAAUUAUAAAAUAUUUCAGGUCAAGGUGCAGCUUAUAAUUAAGAGGAGGUGGGUUACAAUAAAUUUUUGUUUAUUAUGGAUUUAACAGUGAAAUACUGUUAAUGAAGGUGGAUUUGAUAGUAAUUUAAUUUAGUUAAUUUAAUUGAUAUUGGCUCUGAGGUGUGUACACAUCGCCCGUCGCUCUCA